GUAAACUCUUUGGCUGAAAUUGCUGCCAGCAGGUAGCUGGAGCCAUCAGCAAAAUAGAACCAGCACAAAUGAGGACAAAGGCACUGUCUGGGAAGGGAUGGGACAGAAAUUUUUGUCUGGGAGAAGGGUGGCCUGGCAGCUGGGAGCUCCAGGGAGGGGCCAGAGCCACGUCCGUUCUUAGUGUACUUUAAUGAUAAGCCCUGGGGCACAGGACAGGGCUGUUGGGGCUUGAUGCUCGAUACUUCCCAGACCUUCCUAAAUUUCUGCAUGGAGCUUCAGGGCAGAUGCCAGUGUACUGGUUGAGGCCUCCUGGAAGGAAAAGCUGAGCCUGUAUGGAGAUAGCUGGUGGCCAUUUAAAGCUGAAAGGCCACAUGUCAUUUAAUAAAUAAAAUGGGCUACCAUUUAUUUAGUAUUGUCUGUAUGCUAGGCUAAGCACUUGACGUGCACUGCCUCAUUUAAUUUUUUCAGUGAUCCUAUGAAGUACACACAGUUCCUAUCCCCAUUUCACAGAAGAGGACAUUGAGACAUAAGGAGGUUUAGGAGUGGCAGAGUCAUCUGUUGACUUUGCAAACUGUGUGCAGAACCUGGAACAUUCUGCUGCCUGGAUGAGACUAUUUUCUUCCUCCCUCCUCCAGCUCAGUGUGGUAGGGAUGGGGUGGAAUCAAUACAAAACUCUAGAAUACUGGAAUGUUCAAAUCAUGUGCUUUAGAAACUAUGUGGUCAGGGACUGUCAAGAACCCGCCUACCAAUAUUCCACAAGUUUUCAGACUUGUUCAGAUGGGGAUUCACCCUAUGCCUUGCCUUUCUACCCUGUGCCUCACAGGGUUCUCAAAGCAAGAUAUGAACAAGGCAGAGAUCCCCAGGGGGCCUUGGUUAAAAACCCUCUUAACCAGAACCUUCAGGGGCGCAGCCAAGGAAUCAGACAUUUCAACAAACUCCUCACAAUGGAUAUAUUUGACAAAGGACUUGCCAUCCAGAAUAUAUCAAGAAUGCCUACAAAUCAAGGACAGGAAAUAUGAUUCAAUAAGAAGAUAAGCAAAAGAUCUGGACAGGUGCUUCACCAAAGAAGAUAUACAAAUGGCCAAUAAGUACAUAAAAAAUGCUCAGCAUCAUCAGUCACCAGAGAAAUGCAAAGUAACACUACAGUGAGCUAUCUUUCACACCCACCUGAAUGGCCAAAGGUAAAAAGACCGACAUUACCAACUACGAGUGAAGAUGUGGAGCACCUGGACCUCUCGUGCAUUAUGAGUGGAAUGCAAAAUGAUAUGAUCAUUUGGAAAACUGUUAGCAUUUUCUCCUAAAGCUGAAUAUAUGCAUGCCUUCUGACCCAUCGCUUGCACUCCUGGGUAUAUAUCAAGAAAUAUGAGUGACUUGUGUGCACCAAAAGAUAGAAACAAGAAUGUUCAUGGAAGCUUUACCCGUAACAACCCCAAACUGGAAAGUCACCCAGAUGCUUACCAACAGGAGAAUGGAUAAACCAGUUGAGUACAACCACACGAUGAAAUAUUGCUCAGAAAUAAAAUAGAAAACAGCUACUGAUAUGUACUGAUAUGUAUAUCGGCACAGGCCACCAUGGACAUCUGCUUUGCCUGCUCACCAGUGAAUUCUCUCUUCUGGUAACACACCCUGAUUUUCCUCUGGGAGCUGCCCUCUCCUACUCUCAGCCCAUGUGUUUCAGGGUGUGUUCUGGAUUUCUUUAUCCCUCUAGGAACUGUGUUUUACAACCAGCCCUUCUGACACCAAGUGUGUGGGUUGUUGUUCUCCCUCGCACACCAACCAAUCCCCCAUUUCUCCAGAUGCCAAUUAGGGGCCCUACAACUUCAUUCCAGUCUCAUACUAACUACCUGGAAUCAGUGCAGACCCAACAGGAUAAGAGCUCACUCCUGUGAGACUGCACUCACUUCAGAUGCCAGUCACAAGUCCUGGGCCACGUGGAUGUCUGACCAGUAGGCUAUGAAUUGUGAACACAGAGAGCAAGCAGGGAAGGAGCAGAGAGAGGAGGAGACACAGAAUCCGAAGCAGGCUCCAGGCUUUGAGCUGUCAGCACAGAGCCUGAUGCGGGGCUCGAACUCGCGAACCAUGAGAUCAUGACCUGAGCCGAAGUCGGACACUUAACCAACUGAGUCCCCCCAGGUACCCCUGUUUUCUGUUUUUUAAUGGAGGUUCCACUGUAUAGGCAUGAUUGAGCAAAUCACUGGCCAUUGGUGACAAACUUAAUUUAUAGUUUCCUCCCCUUCUGGGAAGUGUGUGGGAGGGGAAAAAAAAGCUGAAAUUUCUAGCUGUCUAAUCAUGCCUUGGUCUUUCUUGGCCAGCCCCCCAUCCUGAAGUCAUCUAAGGACCCCCAAGGCCUCAUUAGCAUAUAAAAGACACUCUUACCACUCAGAAGAUCCCCAAAGUUUUAGGAGCUGUGUGCCACCAACCUGGGACAAAGACCCAGUUAAGUUCCAGUCUGUGACGCACUAAAGUGACCACUGUCUCUGGGAGUAGUUGUAUCACUUGAGAAAUGCAUCUCGUAAUGGUGGAAUCACAGACAGUGGGGAUGGGGUACGGGCUUCUCCCAGUGCCCCAAAUCCUCCUGGUGGAUGGUGGAUGCACUGAUGAUUUUGCCCCCUUGAAUGUGGAGAUAAGUGGGCUUUCUUUCUUGCUCUCUUGAGGUUGAGGUGGGGGGGGGCACAUAGUCUGAGUAGGAGUAAUUGGAGAUAAUGUAGCUGUUUACAUAGUAAGUGCCAUUGUUGCUUUAUUUUGUGCUACAUUUUGCCCUAACUCUAGAAAACAUAGAGCUAAAAAAAGAAAAAAACAAAAACCAAAAAACGCAGACAUUACAAUUUUCCUUACAUCUUGGGUUUUUGCUAAAGAUUAAAAAAGCUACUUCUAUAAUUUAUUCCUAAAACUGCUUUGGAAAUGCCAUCAUCAAGACCAAAAUGCACCAGGCAAUAGUUAGAAAAGCAAAUAAUACUCUCUCCUCGUUUGCUUAAAACCAUCACAGCAUCGUGCAAUCUGUGAAUAGCACCCAGCCUAUCCCCUGAGUCUUGUGUGCAUUUGGGAAAUUAAUUAUGACUCUCUUAUAAACGUCAUAGAAAUGAUGCACAUGGCCAUCAGCUUGCUCCAUUUCUGCAGGCUGCAGCUAUUAAGGCUGCAAGUGGCUCUGUGAGCCUUCGCCAGGCUGUGUGUGCUGGCAAAGGAGUUCUGGGCAGGGAGGGGAAGGAGCAGGAGGCAGGACAGAGACAGUUCUCAGAGGAAGGCUCUAGAAGUCCUUGUGAGCUCCAGGCUCUGCACCUCUUGUGAUGGGGCAGGUCUCUCCGUCUGCCUGAGCCUCUGUUGCCUCAUCUGUAAAGCAGGCACCACCAUAACAGUACCUGGCAGAG
Long non-coding RNA from Acinonyx jubatus (cheetah), 3365 nucleotides. RefSeq lists it as uncharacterized. The record is from RefSeq and is a predicted model, not a curated record. NCBI's taxonomy places the organism in Eukaryota, Metazoa, Chordata, Mammalia, Carnivora, Felidae. The transcript is spliced from 4 exons.